RNAcentral lists this ribosomal RNA (205 nucleotides) under uncultured bacterium. RNAcentral's name for it is "partial 16S ribosomal RNA". It matches the Rfam family "Bacterial small subunit ribosomal RNA", at positions 355 to 552 of the family's 1533-position model. The record is from RNAcentral.
UAGGGAAUCUUCCACAAUGGACGCAAGUCUGAUGGAGCAACGCCGCGUGAGUGAAGAAGGUCUUCGGAUCGUAAAGCUCUGUUGUUGGUGAAGAAGGAUAGAGGCAGUAACUGGUCUUUAUUUGACGGUAAUCAACCAGAAAGUCACGGCUAACUACGUGCCAGCAGCCGCGGUAGUNNGUAGGUGGCAAGCGUUGUCCGGAUUU